This 226-nucleotide unclassified non-coding RNA is filed under the name Hevea brasiliensis (rubber tree). The record is from RNAcentral. Lineage: Eukaryota; Viridiplantae; Streptophyta; Magnoliopsida; Malpighiales; Euphorbiaceae.
GACAAACUCAAAGCACUGAUAGAUUCCGGAACCGAUGUUUCUGUUUUCGACGAUGAGGGUCUUACCCCUCUUAUGCAUGCGGCCAAGCAUGGCCAUGCCGUGGUUGUUAAAACCCUUCUUGAAGCUGGCGCGCCAUGGAAUGCUCUCUCUCCUUCCGAUCUCUCAGCUGGCGAUUUUGCUCUGGAGGCUGGUCACCAGGAGGUCUUCCAGAUUCUUCUUAACGCCG